This 253-nucleotide ribosomal RNA is filed under the name uncultured bacterium. RNAcentral's name for it is "partial 16S ribosomal RNA". It matches the Rfam family "Bacterial small subunit ribosomal RNA", at positions 524 to 776 of the family's 1533-position model. The record is from RNAcentral.
UACGGGGGGGGCAAGCGUUGUUCGGAAUUACUGGGCGUAAAGGGCUCGUAGGUGGCCAACUAAGUCAGACGUGAAAUCCCUCGGCUUAACCGGGGAACUGCGUCUGAUACUGGAUGGCUUGAGAUUGGGAGAGGGAUGCGGAAUUCCAGGUGUAGCGGUGAAAUGCGUAGAUAUCUGGAGGAACACCGGUGGCGAAAGCGACUUUCUGGUCCAAUACUGACGUUCAUGUGCGAAAGCGUGGGGAGCAAACAGG